RNAcentral lists this ribosomal RNA (254 nucleotides) under uncultured bacterium. Its description in RNAcentral is "partial 16S ribosomal RNA". It matches the Rfam family "Bacterial small subunit ribosomal RNA", at positions 524 to 776 of the family's 1533-position model. The record is from RNAcentral.
UACGUAGGGGGCGAGCGUUGUCCGAAGUUACUGGGCGUAAAGCGCGUGUAGGCGGGUCUUUAAGUGAGGGGUGAAAGGUUCAGGGCUCAACCCGGACACUGCCUUUCAUACUGGAGAUCUUGAGUGCGGGAGGGGCGAGUGGAAUGGUCGGUGUAGCGGUGAAAUGCGUAGAUAUCGAUCGGAACACCCAUGGCGAAGGCAGCUCGCUGGCCUGUAACUGACGCUGAGACGCGAAAGCGUGGGGAGCAAACAGG